AUUGAACGCUAGCGGGAUGCUUUACACAUGCAAGUCGAGCGAGCGGCGGGCGGGUGAGUGAUGUAUGGGGACUGCCCGAUAGAGGGGGAUACCUACUGGAAACAGUAGAUCAUACCCCAUACCAUCUGAUUACCCCUAUGGGAUUAGCUAGUAGGUGAGGGACAGGCUCACAGAGGCGCCGAUCCCUAGAUGGUCUGAGAGGAGGAGAAGCCACAGUGGGACUGAGACACGGCCCAGACUCCGAAGGAGGCAGCAGUGGGGAAUAUUGCACAAUGGGCGCAAGCCGGAUGCAGCCAUGCCGCGUGUAUGAAGAAGGCCUUAGGGGUGGAAAGUACUUUCAGCCGGGAGGCGUUACCGACAGAAGAAGCACCGGCUAACGCCGUGCCAGCAGCCGCGGUAAUUC
RNAcentral lists this ribosomal RNA (403 nucleotides) under uncultured bacterium. Its description in RNAcentral is "partial 16S ribosomal RNA". It matches the Rfam family "Bacterial small subunit ribosomal RNA", at positions 29 to 526 of the family's 1533-position model. The record is from RNAcentral.